GUAGGUGAACCUGCGGAAGGAUCAUUAUCGUACAAAAUGUGUGAGGCAUGCAAGGGCUGUCGCUGGCUUUUAACACAAAAGCCGUGCACGCCAGAGCGUGUCCUCUCACAUAAAAUCCAUCUCACCCUUUGUGCACCACCGCGUGGGCACCCUUCGGGAUCAAACCGAUCCGGGAGGGGGCUUGCGUUUUCACACAAACCCCUUUUUAAAAAGUGUAGAAUGACCCCAUUUUUGCGAUAACACGCAAUCAAUACAACUUUCAACAACGGAUCUCUUGGCUCUC
Molecule: unclassified non-coding RNA, 283 nt
Filed under: rhizosphere metagenome
Description: partial ribosomal RNA internal transcribed spacer region
Source: RNAcentral